AGAGUUUGAUCCUGGCUCAGGAUGAACGCUGGCGGCGUGCCUAAUACAUGCAAGUCGAGCGAACGGACGGGAAGCUUGCUUCUCUGAUGUUAGCGGCGGACGGGUGAGUAACACGUGGAUAACCUACCUAUAAGACUGGGAUAACUUCGGGAAACCGGAGCUAAUACCGGAUAAUAUUUUGAACCGCAUGGUUCAAAAGUAAAAGACGGUCUUGCUGUCACUUAUAGAUGGAUCCGCGCUGCAUUAGCUAGUUGGUAAGGUAACGGCUUACCAAGGCAACGAUGCAUAGCCGACCUGAGAGGGUGAUCGGCCACACUGGAACUGAGACACGGUCCAGACUCCUACGGGAGGCAGCAGUAGGGAAUCUUCCGCAAUGGGCGAAAGCCUGACGGAGCAACGCCGCGUGAGUGAUGAAGGUCUUCGGAUCGUAAAACUCUGUUAUUAGGGAAGAACAUAUGUGUAAGUAACUGUGCACAUCUUGACGGUACCUAAUCAGAAAGCCACGGCUAACUACGUGCCAGCAGCCGCGGUAAUACGUAGGUGGCAAGCGUUAUCCGGAAUUAUUGGGCGUAAAGCGCGCGUAGGCGGUUUUUUAAGUCUGAUGUGAAAGCCCACGGCUCAACCGUGGAGGGUCAUUGGAAACUGGAAAACUUGAGUGCAGAAGAGGAAAGUGGAAUUCCAUGUGUAGCGGUGAAAUGCGCAGAGAUAUGGAGGAACACCAGUGGCGAAGGCGACUUUCUGGUCUGUAACUGACGCUGAUGUGCGAAAGCGUGGGGAUCAAACAGGAUUAGAUACCCUGGUAGUCCACGCCGUAAACGAUGAGUGCUAAGUGUUAGGGGGUUUCCGCCCCUUAGUGCUGCAGCUAACGCAUUAAGCACUCCGCCUGGGGAGUACGACCGCAAGGUUGAAACUCAAAGGAAUUGACGGGGACCCGCACAAGCGGUGGAGCAUGUGGUUUAAUUCGAAGCAACGCGAAGAACCUUACCAAAUCUUGACAUCCUUUGACAACUCUAGAGAUAGAGCCUUCCCCUUCGGGGGACAAAGUGACAGGUGGUGCAUGGUUGUCGUCAGCUCGUGUCGUGAGAUGUUGGGUUAAGUCCCGCAACGAGCGCAACCCUUAAGCUUAGUUGCCAUCAUUAAGUUGGGCACUCUAAGUUGACUGCCGGUGACAAACCGGAGGAAGGUGGGGAUGACGUCAAAUCAUCAUGCCCCUUAUGAUUUGGGCUACACACGUGCUACAAUGGACAAUACAAAGGGCAGCGAAACCGCGAGGUCAAGCAAAUCCCAUAAAGUUGUUCUCAGUUCGGAUUGUAGUCUGCAACUCGACUACAUGAAGCUGGAAUCGCUAGUAAUCGUAGAUCAGCAUGCUACGGUGAAUACGUUCCCGGGUCUUGUACACACCGCCCGUCACACCACGAGAGUUUGUAACACCCGAAGCCGGUGGAGUAACCUUUUAGGAGCUAGCCGUCGAAGGUGGGACAAAUGAUUGGGGUGAAGUCGUAACAAGGUAGCCGUAUCGGAAGGUGCGGCUGGAUCACCU
RNAcentral lists this ribosomal RNA (1540 nucleotides) under Staphylococcus aureus M0471. Its description in RNAcentral is "16S ribosomal RNA". It matches the Rfam family "Bacterial small subunit ribosomal RNA". Lineage: Bacteria; Bacillati; Bacillota; Bacilli; Caryophanales; Staphylococcaceae. The record is from RNAcentral.